GGAACCGGAGAGGUAAGAGGUACUACAGGGGUAGGAGUGAAAUCUUGUAAGUCCCUGUGGGACCACCUGUGGCGAAGGCGUCUUACCAGAACGGGUUCGACGGUGAGGGACGAAAGCUGGGGGCACGAACCGGAUUAGAUACCCGGGUAGUCCCAGCCGUAAACGAUGCUCGCUAGGUGUCAGGCAUGGCGCGACCGUGUCUGGUGCCGCAGGGAAGCCGUGAAGCGAGCCACCUGGGAAGUACGGCCGCAAGGCUGAAACUUAAAGGAAUUGGCGGGGGAGCACAACAACGGGUGGAAGCCUGCGGUUUAAUUGGACUCAACGCCGGACAACUCACCGGGGGCGACAGCAAUAUGUAGGCCAAGCUGAAGACUUUGCCUGAAUCGCUGAGAAGAGGUGCAUGG
RNAcentral lists this ribosomal RNA (404 nucleotides) under uncultured archaeon. RNAcentral's name for it is "bacterial SSU rRNA". It matches the Rfam family "Archaeal small subunit ribosomal RNA", at positions 595 to 997 of the family's 1478-position model. The record is from RNAcentral.